Molecule: ribosomal RNA, 293 nt
Filed under: uncultured bacterium
Lineage: Bacteria
Description: partial 16S ribosomal RNA
Rfam family: Bacterial small subunit ribosomal RNA
Source: RNAcentral
GUGCCAGCCGCCGCGGUAAGACGAACCGUGCGAACGUUAUUCGGAAUCACUGGGCUUAAAGCGCGUGUAGGCGGAUGCGCACGUCGGUCGCUGAAAUCCCCCGGCUCAACCGGGGAACGGGCGCCGAUACGGCGCGUCUCGAGGGGCGUAGGGGGACCUGGAACUUCCGGUGGAGCGGUGAAAUGCGUUGAGAUCGGAAGGAACGCCCGUGGCGAAAGCGAGGUCCUGGACGCCUACUGACGCUGAGACGCGAAAGCCAGGGGAGCGAACGGGAUUAGAUACCCUAGUAGUCC